UGGGGAAUAUUGGACAAUGGGCGAAAGCCUGAUCCAGCAACGCCGCGUGAAGGACGAAGGUCUUCGGAUUGUAAACUUUUGUUAUUGGGGACGAAAAAAGACGGUACCCAAUGAGGAAGCCCCGGCUAACUACGUGCCAGCAGCCGCGGUAAUACGUAGGGGGCAAGCGUUGUCCGGAAUUACUGGGCGUAAAGGGCGUGUAGGCGGUUUGGUAAGUCAGAUGUGAAAGCCCCGGGCUCAACCUGGGAUGUGCAUUUGAAACUAUCAGACUUGAGUGCAGGAGAGGAAAGCGGAAUUCCUAGUGUAGCGGUGAAAUGCGUAGAUAUUAGGAGGAACACCGGUGGCGAAGGCGGCUUUCUGGACUGUAACUGACGCUGAGGCGCGAAAGCGUGGGGAGCAAACA
Molecule: ribosomal RNA, 403 nt
Filed under: uncultured Eubacteriales bacterium
Lineage: Bacteria; Bacillati; Bacillota; Clostridia; Eubacteriales
Description: uncultured Clostridiales bacterium partial 16S ribosomal RNA
Rfam family: Bacterial small subunit ribosomal RNA
Source: RNAcentral